GCUGGACCUCACUGAUUACUGUAUAAAAACACAUACAAAAUUUAAUAUAAGACAGCAAAUCUCAGACUCUCAGGCAGGGGGUUCCAGAGCAGAGAGGCCCUGACUGCAAAAGCACGCUCGCCUUUGGUCCUGAGCCUGGACUCAGGAACUGCCAGGAGAGCCCUGCCCCAGGAUCUGAGGCUGCACUCCAGCUCAUAGGGAUGCAGCAAUUCAGCAAUGUAGCUGGUAGCAAUGUAGCUGGAAGCAUUGUAAGUGAUCAGUAAAAUCUUGAAAUCAAUUCUAAAACUGGUAAAGAGGGGAAGAGAGGCAAGGAGGGAAGAGAGGUUAAAACAGGGCUGAUUGUUGUCAAUCUUAGUUAAAAGCAGAGCAGCUGGAUCUUAGUUAAAAGCAGAGCAGCUGGUUUUUGAAAGAGCUCGAGGCCCGGGAUGGCUUUUUUGGCUUAACCCUGAGUAUCCCUGAGUAACCCUGAGUGACAAGAAUUGCAAUAGUCCGAUCAAGAUGAAAUAAAGGUAUGGAUGACUUUCUCAAGAUCAGAUGUGACAGAAACGACCUGAUCUUAGAGAGGCUCCAUAGCUGAUAAAAACAUCACUUUUAAUUUGUUUUUUCAAAAUUGAGGUCUCUGUCUAAUAUUACGCCCAGGUUUCUGGCUGCAGGUUAGAUAUUUAAUGUCAAGGAUCCAAGUUUUUUUUUUGUACAACAGGGAUGGACCUUGGGGGACCAAAGAUAAUUAUCUCCGAUUUGUUUUUGUUGAGCUUUUGAUUUUGGGACAUCCAGCACUUUAUUAUGACUUUUUGUUUGUUUAGGAUGUGCCCCAGUGGCAGCAUGUAUAUAGAAAACAGCAAAGAGCCAGGGAUGGAACACAACAUGUCAGAGGGGCCAAUGAUGAGGAGGCAUUACCCAUGACCACUGAAAAAGUUCUGCUAGAUAAAUAUGAUAAAACACAUUUUAGGGCAGUGUCCCUGAUGCCAACCAACUUUCCAAGUUGUUCUAAAAAUAAUAGCUUGAUAAGAAAAAAAUACCAAUCACCAGCAUAAUCUGAAAGCCUGAAGCUAAGCAGCACAACACGGGCUCUUUGGCUUAGAGCGUCUGGCUACAUGUUGAAGUGUCCUUAAGAAAAAUACUGAACCCCAAAUUGCUCCCGAUGGCCUUGUGUAUGAAUGUGGCAUGUAGUGUAAAAGCGCUUUGAGUGGUCGGAAGCCUAGAUAUAAGUACACACACCACUGCUUUGAUGUUGGUUGCAUAGACCAGCACAGAGACCUGCAUGUCCUCCCAUUAUCAGAGGAAGUAAAAACCUUGACUUUAUAUUGUGGCUGAAAUUCCAACGACUGCAACUGCUGUCUCAAAGGAGGAAGAAUUGAUACCAGCUGUCCAGGACCGACUUCAUACUUGGUAAGUUUUGCCAUAUUUUAUGUUGUUUUACUGGUUAUUUUGUAGAUACCCAUGAUGAGCUUGGCGUGAGCAUGGCGCAUGGCUAACGUGGCUAGCAUUGUACUGGGCCAAUGUCCGACUUUAUUUUGUCAUAUCGAGGGACAAUAAGAAACUGUGUGAUUGUUAAGCCCUGUUUGAAGUCAACAUCAGCUCAGCUAGCGUUAGCUUUGUUGUUAUACUAAAGGUAGUUCUGCUGUGCUCUGGUGUGUGUGUGUCUUAUGUAAAUUCACUUGAUAUACAUUCACUGGAAUUAAUGAUAGAGCUAUGUGUGAGAAAGAAAUGGUCAAACUGCAGGAAUUAAUUUGUUUGUUAAGGUUGUGUGACUUUGAUUAACAGCUGUAGUGGGCCACUAAGCAGUGUGUGUAAAAUCAUACCGCAACUAAUAAUGUUGUUACUGAAAUACUCGUAUUACUGAUGAUAUAAGUGCACUUCCAAUGUAACAUCUAUCAUCUGUUUUUGCAUCGGGAACUUGUAUUUAUGAACUUUUGGUAUGUCACACAACACAAGUUACAGUCGCAGUUUCUUUGUUAAUAAUUGAUUGAGUAAAUUAUUUAUCAUCAUUAUAGCACUCUGUGUGGCUGUUACAAUUCACUACACAUCUGAGAUGAAGUUUCUAAUCUCUUUUUCCUGCAUACAGGACAACACAUCACUACAGUAAGCUGCAAUAAGGGACCCACCAGAGACACUGCUUUCAUCAGAAGUAAAGCGGACCACAUUGGCCAGCCUUUGCUCCCCACGUGCAUCAAUGAGCCCAUGAUCCUAUCGACAGUUCACUGCUUUUCCUUCCUUGGAUCACUUUUGAAAGAUCAUCUGAGUGACCUGAUGAAGCUCAGAGGAGGAAAUUAUUGCUUGUCAUACCUCAGUCAAAUGACAGCCUAAAGACAUCAUAGUGGCAGCCGCAGCAUCAGGAAAGUCUUGGUAUACACAGGAAGAUGCAUCAAGAUGAACACUGACCGCAGAGCUCCCUUACUUCAGUGUACAAGAAACCCUUUACCUCAAUCAUGAGUUUACAUUAAAGUCAUAGCUUUGGUACUUUGUUUGCAUCAUAUACAUAAUUAAAAGUUCCUUGUCAGGGGGGGCGCUGUUGAGUGAUGGAAGAGUAAGACGUGUUCGCACGAGCUCUGAUAACUUUAUCUUUAUUAAAAUACUAAACUUUUGUAAAUCCACUCUUAAAUUUCUUGGAACGACGUAAGAAGAUACACAAAAGUGCAAUGUAAGACCAAUGUAAAAAACUAUGUCAAAAAAGGGGAAAACUAGAAAAAACGACCAACAAGAAGCAGGCCCCGACCAGCCCUCUGACCCGAGUGACGCACCUCUACCUGAUGAUAUGAGUGACGAGGCGGACCCACCUAACUGUGCAAUACUAGCUGCUAUCGCUAACCUGCGAAAUGAAGUCACUCAGGUCAAGAAUGACAUAUGUGCCUCCAUAGAUGCACGCAUACAGACUGUAUGCACGAGCUGAGAGAGGAGCUGACUACAACCAAAAAGGAAAGUCAGACAUCCAUUACAACACUUGAAGGAGCCACGGCCUCGCACGAGAAGUAGCUGACCUGCUAAAAGAGGUGCUAUGUCUGGAUGAGAAGCCACUUAUUGACCGAGUGCAUCGGACCCUCCGGAGAACCCCCGACCCUCGAGAGCCCCCCAGGCCCUUCAUCCUGAGGCUACACUAUUAUCAUGUGCUUGAGGACAUCCUACGGAAAGCCAGCGUGGCGAAGCAACUUUACUUCAGAGACAAGAGGAUUCAAAUAUUCCCCGAACUAUCCUCCGGCCAUGGCUAAGCGAAGGGCUCUAUUCAACCGUGCUAGGGAGCUAUUGCGUGACAAGCCCGGCGUCAGGUAUGGCCUACUUUACCCCGCAAGACUCCUGGUCACACACAAUGGUACACAGACAUCCUUCACAGACCCGGAAAAAGCCGAAGAAUACGCGUGGCGACUCUUUGGUCCAGGGUCAUCUACAGCUGCACAGGACAAGGACAAAACAUGGAUCUCAGGAACUGUUUGGUUUUUUUUCUUCUAUCUGUGGCUGACUAGUUAGCCGAGGCGGCUAACAUCAGCACAACAACCAUUACCUGCCAAAAAAGGAGAAAAAAAAAAAAAAAGAGGAGGGGGAAAACAACUGCCGUGAUACACGCGUGUGUAUCAAGACACCGGUUGUGUGUGUAUGCGUAUACACACACAACCGGUGUCUUAUUGCAUGGCGGGAAGAACAAACAUGCAAGGUGUGAAAAUCGUGGGAUACCACACUAUAUCCUUUAUAAUCUAGACACUGUAUUGUUAUUAUCCGACAAGAAUCUCUUUUUUUCAAUAUAAGUGUUAUUCAUUUAUCCAUUUUAUUUAGUUCUAUGAUUAGAUUCAGCUUUAUGUCAAGUGUGAUGCCAGUUGUGACCUACUCUUACCUCUUGUUUCUAAAAAUACAGCUAUGUUUGAAAUGUGGAAAUUGAUGUUCAGGUUUGGGGAGUGCAUUUGUGUUUUACUCUGCAUCUCCCAGGUUCAUAUGAUACAUGAUGAUAGAUGCGCUUGUAUAAAUGGGGGUGCGUGUGCGCAUGUAUACCCCCAGUGGGGUCGCUCGUUCCCUUUCUCAUAUUUAAAUUUCUUUAUUACCAAGUUUCAGAGCUAAAGGACCGAUUUUGAAGUUAAUAACAGGCCACCAGUAGGUGUGGAAGUAACCUCAGUUAUCAGCUUUUUUUUUUUUUUUUUCUGGCUUCCCUAAGAAGGCUCAGGCCAUUCACUUUGAAUUGGCUAGAGUAGUUUAUUUUGUUUUUUUUGUUAAUAUGUGGGUCAGGUUGACUUGGGGAGGGAGACUUGGGCUGGGGAAAGAAGACCUUACAAAAACUGAUUACCAAUACGCAAGAUACUAUGAAUGAUAGCACCAAGGAGAAAAAAAAUCUCACUUUUUCCAGUUGGAAUGUGCGUAGAGUAAAUAAUCCAGUCAAAAGAGGGAAGGUUUUGCCCCAUCUUAAAACACUGGCCUCGGAUAUUAUGUUUUUACAAGAGACCCAUCUGAAUAAUAAAUCACAUGGCAGGCUCAGGACAAAGUGGAUAGGAGAGAUCUAUCACUCAGCUUUUUCUUCCAAAGCAAGAGGCUCUUAAUUAGAAAGGGUGUACCUUUUUUGCAGAAAAAAACAAUAACCGACAAAGAGGGUCGCUAUGUUAUAGUGAUUGGAGAGAUUAUUGGAGAAUAUUUCCCUCACCCUAGUAAACAUCUACGCACCUAAUACAGAUAACCCUGUAUUCUUUCAGAACAUUUUUGCAUUGAUACCAGAUAUGUCACAGACUAAUUUGAUAAUCAGAGGAGAUUUUAAUACCGUUUUGGAUGCAUAUCUAGAUAGAUCCUCCACAAAGAAACCUCCCAGAAAUGCCUCAAGUGAAUUCCUAAAUACAUACAUAAAAACCGCAAAUAUCCUAGACAUAUGGAGAAUGAUGAACCCCUCAGGUCGGGACUAUUCAUUUUAUUCACCUGUGCAUAAUUCUUAUAGUAAAAUAGACUAUUUACUAGUUGACGCCAAACUGGCACCUUUUGUAGUGGAUGCUAGGUAUCAUAGUAUUGUGAUUUCAGAUCACAGCCCACUUUCCUUUUCAGUAUGUUUAGACCACUUAGACAAACCACAUACCUCUUGGAGACUAAAUCCUCACCUGCUUACAGAUAAAAGCUUUCGUGAUUACCUAAAAGAUCAAAUCUCAUUGUAUUUUGAGAUGAAUGAUAUCCCAGAGACUUCUCCCUCUACUCUCUGGGAGGCGUUUAAAGCCUAUAUUAGAGGUAGCAUAAUUUCGUUUGAAGCAUCAAGGAGAAAAGAAAACGUCCAAAUUGAAAGACCUGGAAGUACAGAUCAAAGCAAUGGAUCAGGAAAAUGCUCGAUCCCCAUCUACAAUUUUGCACAGAAAAAUAACAACAUUGAAGUAUGAAUACAAUCAAAUUGUGUCUGUGAGAAUAAGUAAAGCGUUCCUGUAUACCAGACAAAGGUUCUUUGAAUUUGGGGAUAAACCACAUAAAUUACUGGCUCGUCAGCUCCGUAAAAUGGAGAAUGAUAGGACAAUAAAUAAGGUAAAAGCCUGUGAUAACACAAUACUCACAAAACCCAAAGAUAUUAAUAACAGGUUCCUCGAAUUUUACACAGACUUGUAUACUUCUAGAUCCACCUCAGAGUCCGAGAUUAUUAAUACAUUUCUAGAUAAAUGUGACCUACCUAGGUUAGGUGUUGAAGAUUGUAAAUCGCUAAAUGCGGAGCUCACAAUCACAGAGGUUCAGUCUGCUGUUGCCUCGUUAAAAGGUAAUAAAUCACCAGGUCCUGACGGACUCCCUGGAGAAUUAUAUAAAAUGUAUGGUGAAAAGUUAUCUCCUUAUUUAUUAAAGGUAUUCAAACAUGCUCAGGAAAGCGGUGCUCUACCACCGACUUUAACUGAAGCUGUGAUCACAGUAAUUCAUAAGAAAGGGUAAGAUCCACAGUAAGUAGGUGCCUAUCGCCCUAUUUCACUCCUGAAUGUUGACGGAGAGCUGUUUGCCAAAAUGCUUGCUAACAGACUGAGCCCCCUGUUGGAGAGAUUAGUUCACCCAGACCAGAUGGGUUUUGUACCUAAUAGAAACUCUACUUUCAAUCUGAGACGCCUCUUUAAUAUCAUGUACACAAGAAGAGAACCACACUCUGAUCUUGUUAUACUUGCGCUUGAUGCCGAAAAGGCAUUUGAUCAGAUUGAGUGGCGAUACUUAUUUGAAGUUCUCAAUAUAUUCAAUCUCAGAGAUGAUUUUUUGUCACUAAUUAAACUCAUCUACAAAAACCCUACAGCUCAAAUCCUAACCAACCGAACACUAUCCUCCCCGUUUAAGUUAUGUAGGGGGACGAGGCAGGGAUGCCCCCUCUCCCCUUUAAUCUUUGCUCUUGCUAUCGAGCCGUUGGCUCAAAGUAUUAGACUUGACCCUCAGAUACAUGGAUACACCACUAAAGAAACAAUUAAUAAAAUAUCAUUGUAUGCAGAUGAUAUUCUUCUUUAUUUAACACGUCCACAAAUGAAUAUUCCGGUACCUUUAGAUAUAAUCAAUCUAUUCUGUACUUUUGCAGGAUAUUGGAUCUAUUGGACAAAAAGUGUCUUAAUGCCAGUUCACAGGGAAGAUCUGACAUUUCUGAUUAAUCUCCCAUUUAAAAUCUCCUCGGAAAAUUUAACCUAUUUAGGUAUAGAAGUGACAAGACAGUAUACUUCUCUCUUUCAACAAAACUUUCCUCCUUUAAUAGAAAAACUGCGUUCUAGGUUAUUGUUAAUUGUUAAUUGUUAAUUUCGAUGAUCGGGAGAAUAAAUGCGGUUAAGAUGGUCUUACUCCCACAGUUACUAUAUCUGUUUCAAAGUAUUCCAAUAUUCCUUAAAAAAACUUUUUUUAAACAAUUAGACUCUUUAAUUACUCCUUUUGUGUGGGGACACAAAGCUCCCAGAAUAGGUAAGAAAUAUGUCUGCAAGCCUAAAUCUGCAGGAGGAUUAGCUCUUCCAAAUUUCUUGUUUUACUACUGGGCCUCAGCGAUUAAGACUUUUACUUUCUGGCUAAACAACACAAAGUCCCCACCUAAUUGGCUACUGAUGGAACAUGAGGAAUGCCAUCCAUAUUCACUGGCUACAAUUUUAUUAGCGCCAACUAAGAUCAAUAGGUUAUUAUAUAACAACAAUCCUAUUAUUCAUAACAUGAUUUGUAUCUGGAAACAAAUCAAAUCCAGUUAUAAUCUUAAUUCCAUAUCCUCUGCAUUACCCAUAGAUAGAAACCUUUUCUAAGUGGAAUCACAAGGGUAUUAAAUGUAUUGGAGAUCUGUAUAUACAAGGUGUAUUUGCCUCGUUUUCUAAAUUACAGCAGCAAUUUGGAUUGGAAAAUAAUAAUUUCUUUCAAUAUCUGCAAAUCAGGGACUUUGUACGUAGACAUUUGGAGGAUUUUCAGACCGAAUCAAAAACAUUAAUAGAUGACUGUCUGAAAUUGCCAAUAAAUGAACCUAAAUUGAUAACACGUAUCUAUAAUAAUCUCCUGUCAGUAAGUCCCCCCCCCCUGCCCAUAUACAUAGACGCAAAUGUGAGAAAGAAUUUGGCAAACCGAUCUCAGAUAAUCUAUGGGACAGAGCCCUUGAGAAGAUCAACACCUUUUUACACAGUGCAAGACAUUGUCUUAUUCAAUUCAAAAUUAUGCACAUGCUCCACUUCUCAAAGGAAAAAUUACAUAAAAUAUAUCCAGAAGUAUCACCUGUGUGUGAUAAAUGCAAAUCUUCCAUUGAAACCCAUCUUCGUUGUUAUGCACUAUGCCCCAAAAUUUCCUCUUUCUGGUCUGGUGUUUUUGGUAUAAUGUCCGAGGUUAUGAGAUUUGUGAUAAAGCCAGAACCCUUACUUAUUAUUCUUGGGGUGUCUGAAUCCUUUAAAAAAUUAAACAAAGCACAACAAUGUUUUAAUUCAUAUAGUCUUAUAAUAGAUUCUUACGUUAUGGAAGAGUAUAAACACACCAACAUCUAAGAUGUGGCUAGAGGAAUUAACUAAUACACUCCAUUUGGAAAGAAUAAGAUAUGUUCUGAAAGACAGACUCCAACAUUUUGACGCAACUUGGCAACCUCUUGUACAGUACCUUGCUAAUACGAACCCAACUUAAUAUUCGGUCUCCUAUAUGCAUUGUAGGGUUCUCGUGAUAUUUUCCAUGCGGGUCUUCUCCAGGGGGUGAGGGGUGUUUGUCAACCUGUUAUGUUCUGUUUCUGUUAUCUCCGUUUACAUGUUCUGUAAUUAUUAUGUUUGUGUGUUUGUAUUAUAAAUGCUCAAUAAAAAUACAUGGGGAAAAAAAAUAAAAAUGUCCUUGUCACUGGAAUAUGAAUGACACAUACGAAUAAAUUGUUUUAUUUUUAAGGAGAGUUUUGGUCUUUUUGGCCAUAUUUAUGAAAUACGGUCCCUGAAGCUAUGGGCAGUAUGAGACAUGCAACAUAACAUGUAAACCUAAUCUAGUAGACACACAAAAUUAGAUUAUGAACCUGAAAAUGAGCAUAAUAUAUCUCCUUUACGUAGCACAGAUUCUAGUAAUUUGCAUUGAAAAUCAAACUUCUCUAACUCAAUUCUCAAUUCUGAACACACUGACAUCAUACUUAAUUCAAUGUGACUUACACUUUAUCAGGAUAAUUAUCUUUAUUUUUAUAGAAUCCCCAUUGUGAAUAAAUUGAGGGUCUGACAAUGUCAGACAAGUGGAUUCCCUUGGUGUAUACUUGCUGCUGUGAGGAUGAACUGUAUGAAUGUGGACACAGUUGGAGUCAGUCUCUUGUCUCUC
Dicentrarchus labrax (European seabass) is the source of this 8691-nucleotide long non-coding RNA. RefSeq lists it as uncharacterized. The record is from RefSeq and is a predicted model, not a curated record. Lineage: Eukaryota; Metazoa; Chordata; Actinopteri; Moronidae. The transcript is spliced from 3 exons.